GUGUCAGCCGCCGCGGUAAUACGGGGGGGGCAAGCGUUGUUCGGAAUUACUGGGCGUAAAGGGCGCGUAGGCGGCCUUCUAAGUCAGACGUGAAAUCCCCAGGCUCAACCUGGGAACUGCGUCUGAUACUGGAGGGCUUGAAUCCGGGAGAGGGAUGUGGAAUUCCAGGUGUAGCGGUGAAAUGCGUAGAUAUCUGGAGGAACACCGGUGGCGAAGGCGGCAUCCUGGACCGGUAUUGACGCUGAGGCGCGAAAGCCAGGGGAGCAAACGGGAUUAGAAACCCGAGUAGUCC
Molecule: ribosomal RNA, 292 nt
Filed under: uncultured bacterium
Lineage: Bacteria
Description: partial 16S ribosomal RNA
Rfam family: Bacterial small subunit ribosomal RNA
Source: RNAcentral